Fundulus heteroclitus (mummichog) is the source of this 577-nucleotide long non-coding RNA. RefSeq lists it as uncharacterized. The transcript has 3 exons. NCBI's taxonomy places the organism in Eukaryota, Metazoa, Chordata, Actinopteri, Cyprinodontiformes, Fundulidae. The record is from RefSeq and is a predicted model, not a curated record.
GAGCUUCCUGUUGUGGAAGCGGUAACCGACACCGAGGCGGCCCCGGGGAAAGUUCUGGAAGUACCGCAGAUGCAGUUACUGGAGAAGAACCGGGCCACGAUCCAGAAGUUAACGCUGUCACCAUCAUGCUGAUGCUGUGGUACCUGAGUGGUUCCAUACCGGUAGCUACCUGAUAUUAAAGCAUCGACACUGAAGGAUUUGGGUUCAGCGGGUGAAAAGCUUCCUCUCCACGUCGAUGUCGCUCAGCUUUGAGGCUUGUUGACCUCGCCGGAGGGAGAUUAAAGCGUCGGGUGUUCUGACGUAAACGGUGACACUCAGAGACCCCGGAGAGCUGCAGGUCUUCCUGUCAAGAAGACUCACUGUUGCUUCUAUUAGUUUUAUUUCAGUCUUUCACUUGUUGAAAGGUUUAUAGUUCUGACCAGAACCGUCCGUUUAACCGGGGUCUCUGCAAAACCUUUCAUGCACUCUGAAAUUUAAUCAUCAGCCAUAUUUUCUGGAAAGGUGGUAAAUUUAAAUCAUGCAGGUAUUUAAAGGCUUAAAACUUUCUGAAACUAGCAGGAACCCUGAUUUAGGCUGG